UACGUAGGUGGCAAGCGUUGUCCGGAAUUAUUGGGCGUAAAGCGCGCGCAGGCGGUCCUUUAAGUCUGAUGUGAAAGCCCACGGCUCAACCGUGGAGGGUCAUUGGAAACUGGGGGACUUGAGUACAGAAGAGAAGAGUGGAAUUCCACGUGUAGCGGUGAAAUGCGUAGAGAUGUGGAGGAACACCAGUGGCGAAGGCGGUCGACUGGCCCAUAACUGACGCUGAGGCACGAAAGCGUGGGGAGCGAACAGG
This 253-nucleotide ribosomal RNA is filed under the name uncultured bacterium. RNAcentral's name for it is "partial 16S ribosomal RNA". It matches the Rfam family "Bacterial small subunit ribosomal RNA", at positions 524 to 776 of the family's 1533-position model. The record is from RNAcentral.